UCGAGGGGCAUCAGUUUGGUUUGCUUGCAAACCAAAGCUGGCGACCGGCGCACGGGUGAGUAACACGUAUCCAACCUGCCUCAUACUCGGGGAUAGCCUUUCGAAAGAAAGAUUAAUAUCCGAUAGCAUAUAUUUCCCGCAUGGGUUUUAUAUUAAAGAAAUUCGGUAUGAGAUGGGGAUGCGUUCCAUUAGUUUGUUGGCGGGGUAACGGCCCACCAAGACUACGAUGGAUAGGGGUUCUGAGAGGAAGGUCCCCCACAUUGGAACUGAGACACGGUCCAAACUCCUACGGGAGGCAGCAGUGAGGAAUAUUGGUCAAUGGACGCGAGUCUGAACCAGCCAAGUAGCGUGAAGGAUGACUGCCCUAUGGGUUGUAAACUUCUUUUAUAUGGGAAUAAAGUGGUCCACGUGUGGAUUUUUGUAUGUACCAUAUGAAUAAGGAUCGGCUAACUCCGUGCCAGCAGCCGCGGUAAUACGGAGGAUCCGAGCGUUAUCCGGAUUUAUUGGGUUUAAAGGGAGCGUAGGCGGAUUGUUAAGUCAGUUGUGAAAGUUUGCGGCUCAACCGUAAAAUUGCAGUUGAUACUGGCAGUCUUGAGUGCAGUAGAGGUGGGCGGAAUUCGUGGUGUAGCGGUGA
Molecule: ribosomal RNA, 634 nt
Filed under: uncultured bacterium
Lineage: Bacteria
Description: bacterial SSU rRNA
Rfam family: Bacterial small subunit ribosomal RNA
Source: RNAcentral